RNAcentral lists this microRNA precursor (84 nucleotides) under Erinaceus europaeus (western European hedgehog). Its description in RNAcentral is "mir-142 microRNA precursor family". It matches the Rfam family "mir-142 microRNA precursor family". RNAcentral also lists the same sequence under 116 other names. The record is from Rfam by way of RNAcentral. Lineage: Eukaryota; Metazoa; Chordata; Mammalia; Eulipotyphla; Erinaceidae.
CAGUGCAGUCACCCAUAAAGUAGAAAGCACUACUAACAGCACUGGAGGGUGUAGUGUUUCCUACUUUAUGGAUGAGUGUACUGU